CGCAGGUGGUGCUUCAUUUAGUAGGACGCAUGCGCAGGCGCAUCUCCCAAAAUCGCCACUUCGAACGGCACGCGAUUUUUAAGCACAGUUUCAUCGCCUACGUUACUUUAGCUAACCCUAACAUGUUGGCGUUUCGCCUACUUUAGUUAACCUACUUAGCGCGUACCACCGAUACAGAUGUCUGGACACACGGAGGACAACAAAUACCGUUACAGAGAAACAUUUGCUGUAUGGGUGAGACCACUGGUUUCAGCUGAAAAUGUCAGGAGCGCGGAGGAGCCUUGAUCCAGUCGGGAGGCUCCCUGUUAAUCCACAUCCAUUCUAAUGAGGUGAGAGGAGAGGAUCCUUCGCCGCGUAAUGAACUGUCACGCCGUCCUUCCUGUCGACGUCCAGGCGGGAGCGCCGUGCCUGUCACCGCGCCGGACAGGCUGAGGACGUCUCCAGACGCGGGCUCUCUCUCUCCCGCGCGGCGCGGCGAAGCCAGGUGACCGGGGAUCGUUUAAUUAGCCGGCGGCUCGUCACGCGGCGCCACUCGGGGGGGGUUUGGGGGGGUGGAGAAGCCUCCCCUCCACGCCACAGCCGUCCCUUCUCCCCAUUUAGCUUCAUUGACACCUUGCAUUAGCCGCUAAUGAGAACUGUUGUCUUUGAUUGUCGAACCUUUCCUUCGCCGCCGGCUGAAAUAUGGCUUUUUAAUUACGCCCGCCGACCCGUUUGAGGGCUUCGGUUCGCGCGGCGGCGGUGGCGGCAUCGCGCCGUCUCUCUGCGGCUCCGCGGACGACGACGGUGGAUCAUCAGAACCUGAGACUGCAUAACUGCGGAUCGAGGAUGAACUCAAAAUCAUAAAAAACGCCAAGGAAACCUCUACUGUGGCAAAUCCGUAACACACCACAACAUAAUAGGCAAAAUAACAAAAUUAAUUUUAAACUUGGUCCAGAGUGAAAGAGAAUUGAGCAUGACCACCCCCAAUAAAACAUCGUUCUGACUCCGUUAACACUUACAGAGAGCGGCCUCACGGAUGACAGCCGCAGAGCGAAAGAGAGAUUCACCCUGGCGCUCGCUCCCGCCCUGAGCUUCCGUCUGUUUUCCCCGGAGCGAUGAAGCGACCGGAUGAUGUGAAGUGGGCGGAGUCUCUCUUCCUGAAAUAAUGGGGACAAACGGCGUUCCGGACCGCGCCGUCGGCUGAGGGGCGGAGCUGGCGGGCGAAGCCUGCGGGAGGCUCCCGCCCUCAGCCGAAAAGCGCCCACGGGGCGGUCUCCUGAAGGUUAAUCGAGUCUUGGGCAACCCAAAAUUUCAGCCUUACUGAUCCCCGAUCAGGAUUCCUGGAAUUAUUAUGGCCACCCCGUGAAAUGCCCUCAAGUUGAGCAUCUUUAAGUGAAAAGAGGUCUUACAGUAGCAAAGAAAGACAGGUCUUUAGGCUGAUUAUUUCUUAAAGUGCCUUGAAUAGUGUAAAAUGAGGUCUUAUUUAGUGUACUGUAUUUGACCCUGUGUAGUGCAUGUGUUCUGUAAUUUUUAAAAGAUUAUUUGUAACACUGUGACCAUUAUGGCAGAGUUAUUAGCCCCACUUUGAUAAAGGGAAAGAAGAGGUGUGACUGUAAAGCGUGAGUAACUGAGAUGAUU
Anguilla rostrata (American eel) is the source of this 1617-nucleotide long non-coding RNA. RefSeq lists it as uncharacterized. Lineage: Eukaryota; Metazoa; Chordata; Actinopteri; Anguilliformes; Anguillidae. The record is from RefSeq and is a predicted model, not a curated record. The transcript has 3 exons.